This 3604-nucleotide long non-coding RNA is filed under the name Homo sapiens (human). Its description in RNAcentral is "HSALNT0138419". The record is from RNAcentral. Lineage: Eukaryota; Metazoa; Chordata; Mammalia; Primates; Hominidae.
AAAAAAAGCAAAACUGUAUAAUCAUGUCAAUAGAUGCAAACUAGAGAAGAAAAAAACUAUUAGCAAACUCCGUAUAGAAGGAAGCUUCUUCCUUCACCUGAUAAAAAGUAUUGAUAACCCCACUAUACAUUUUGAGUGGUCUCCAGUCACAACCAACUAUACUUCACUAGUUUUAACUCCUAAGCUUUCCAUAAAUCCUAGAUUCUGUCUGACACUAAAUGAAGAUCUUCAUGUCAUUUUUUCAAAUAGGAAAAAAUAUGUUCUAAAUAUCUCAGAUUUUCUUUACUAUUCUAUUAUGUAUGUAUCAUCUGUGAAUCUAAUUUUCAUAAAAAAUUUGUUCAGUCUAUAUCCCAUCUUAUGGUACUAAUUUCCACUAACUUACUCUCUAAUAUUAUAUAGAUAAUUAAGAUAUUUAUCUUAAACUGACUUUUAUAAAAUUCCUAGAAGCACCCAUACUCUGCCCACAAUUCCAGCAUGAUGGAAUUUGAGUAAUUCAUCCAAGGUCCCAUUUUAGAACCUCAAUUACAUCUUCCUCCUCCACUUCCUCCUUAGUAUUAAAAGCCCCAAGGAAUAAAUAUUUAUUAGUAUACUGUUACGUAGCCAGACACUUCAUUAUUUUUAUUUAACAGAACAUAUAGUAUUUAUCUUGGGUGUGUAUAAGGUAUGAUUUUGAAUAAUGGCAAGAUAACUUACUAUUCCCAUACUCUCAAAAAAUGUCUAGCAUACUGUGGAUCUUCUUAGCACAGUAUCCAUAAUCAUCUAUGAUAGCUUAUAGAUUCUUUUCCUGACUUUAACUAAAUUCAAGACUCCUCAGUUAAUAAUUAUAAUUCAUGUGAUUUUUUCCCCCAAAUAUACCACUGAAAACUAUCUCACAUGAGUUCACUCAGUUUUUUGCUCACUCAUUAUCUGCAGUUAGGUUUUUUUCCUGGGAUAUUUCACUAUCCAAAAGAGCUAAAAAUUGACUACAUACACCUUCUUUUACACCAUUUAUUAAAAUGUGAAAUUAAAUUGGCCCCAACUUGGGGACCCACAUAAUACACUUUUUCCUCUAAAGAGUGACAGUUCACAACUGAUGUUUACUUACUAAAUCAAUGUGAUUCCAUGAAUAAACAUUUCUCCUCCAUCCUAUGGUAACACAAAAGAUUUUAUUCCUUUCAGAUUAGAACCUUGAAAGAUUUUGUAAAGUUUACAUAAAUUAUUUUCACUGUUUCUCUUCAACAUACUCCAUAAUCCCCUAAAUAACUCCAGUAUACCAAUCAUUCAGGUUUUUGGUUUACAAAACCAAAUUCAAUAAUUUGUUUUAUUCUAAACUCCUGAGUGUUAAAAAUAUAGCAAGACAAGCUGACCCAUAGUUAUCUGUAAGUCCUCUACAAACGUUCUUAUAAUGGGACAUCGUCUUAGUCCAUUUUGUGUUGCUAUAACAAAAUACCACAGACUCAGUAAUUUAUAAAGCAAUUUGUUUUUCACAGUUCUGGAAGCAGGGAAGUCCAAUAUCAAGAUGCUUGGCAACUGAUGAUGGCCUCUGUGCCAUGGCAGCAGGUGGAAGGACAAGAGAGCAUGAGAGAGCAAGAGACAGCUAAACUCACUUUUACUCCUUAACAGAGAUUUAUACCCUCCUGUGCUGGCCUGCAAAAGGACAAAUUCUUCUAAUAAACACUGAGGAGGUGGACUGCAUUUCCAGAUACAGUGAAAAGACUACCAACAGAGUAAUAGUUACACCAAUAACAUAUAUAAAUAGGACUGCUGAGAGUAUAACAUAGAUUUUGGAGUUACUGCACAGAGGGACCAAUAAUCACAGUACUCCAGCUUUUAGUAAAAACCAGUUCACAGGUCCAAACAGUUUCAAUUUAAAUGUUUGAUCAUCAGUUUCCGUGUAUUAAGUAGAACUAUUCAAAGUGUUUGAAAAUUAUCUUAGUAAAAUAAUUACAUAUCCAAGUGCUAAGGAUUUUUAAAGCUAUUUCUUCAGAAAGAAUCAAAGUGAAAACCACCACAAAGACCCUACUAAAAUAAAAAUAACAGAUAACACUUCUCCAAGCCAUACCAUGAUUUCAAGAUACUAUUAAUCAAAAUCAACAUUUCUAUGACUCAGUAUUCUCAACUAUAAAUGACAACCUUUUACAAAUUAUUUCUAGCCCUAAAAUUCUAUGACUUAAUUCUGUGUCUUUUUUAGGGUUUCAAUAUGUGUAAAAUACUGUUACAUAGAAGUAGACACUGUAGGAAUGAAUUCAACAUAGACUCAGAAGUAUAAGAUGCAGGCCUCUGCUCUCAGUAAAUUUCCAAAUGAAGACUAGGAAAUGAGAGAAAUAACUUAAGAGUUUAGAAAUCUUAGAAGACAAUGCAAAGUAUAACAGCUUUUAUACUCAAAGCUGCAACAAUUUCAAAACCUGACAUACAAGUGUGCUGGCUUGGUCUGGAAAGUUAAAUGUGGCUUAUUCUUCUAUGCUGUAAAGCAUAUAUAGGACGUGGACAGAAAGAAAGACAAAGAGAGUGUCACAAGUGCUGGCUAGAGACAUCUGGCUGAAGUGCAAGGCCGCAUAGGGAAAUACUUGGAGAUGGGGCUGUAAAAUACACUAGGCUGGGACUUUAACCAAGAGGCAAUUUAUAAGACAUGGAAAAGUUGAGGGAGGAAUGAAAGCAGAGUUUUAGAAAACUUAAUCUCAAAGGGGAGUAAUGGAUGGAUUAUAGAUAAAAGACCAAAAAAGCAAAAUGGUGCACAAUUAAAUGAGGCAGAGAAAUACAGCCAUUAUUUAGUUUUUCAAGUCAAAAUCUGCUACUGAGACCAAAGUAACUCGUUAUCUAUAUCAAUGAAAUUCACCAACUCUUCACUUUAUUUUUCUUAUAAAACAGCUUAAGUAUAGUUUAGACUGUUUAUUAAAACCUUUCACUGUAUUUCUUAAGUGUCACAUAACAAACUGUAUUUAUAUAAAAAUUCACUUUAAUUUAGAAAAUAAGGACAGUAUUAUUGGUCCUAAGCCUUUCAAAAGGAAAUUAAUGCUGCUGCACAGUUUCAUUAAUUCUGUUGGGCCGUAAGGGUGCCCUUUGGGUACUGACAGAAAUCAUUUAUUGGUCAAUGUAACCCCUCCCAAAACUGCACAACUUAUUCUGUCACUCCCUGUGGGAAAGUCUGGCUGCUUAUGUACUCUGUAAAUCUAUUCUACAAAAACAAAAGUAGCAUCUCUGAUAUAAUGGCUACUAAAAUAUUAAGAGUUAUUAAAUGUUUUCCAAAAAUAACAGUAAAGUCUCAAAAAAAAGGAAAAAAAAGGGAUAAUUCCAUUUCUGUCCCAUUAACUACUUCAUUAUACAUUUACCCAUUUCUUUAGAGUUAACAGUAUGCCUAAAAUAAUAAACUUGAGCAACAUUUUAAAUGCUAUGUGAUUUUCUAUCCAUUAUCAAAAUGAAUAGACUUCACUUGAAACUCAGUUCAUUUUACACACUGACGUAGUCUAAAAAAUUCCACACAAAUUCAAUUUUGGUAACUCAAAUAGUUUAAACAUACGAAACAUUUGGAAGAUGUCCAUUUAAGGAAGGCUGUAGUACAAUUGGUUCUUUUAUAAAAUUGAGAGACACCAAUGUAAAGUGAAUAAAUAUCCCUGAUUAAUCUGGC